RNAcentral lists this non-coding RNA (24 nucleotides) under Arabidopsis thaliana (thale cress). The record is from RNAcentral. Lineage: Eukaryota; Viridiplantae; Streptophyta; Magnoliopsida; Brassicales; Brassicaceae.
CAUUACUGGCCAGUUCUUCAACUA